UACUGAGGGUGCACUCGAUCCCCUCAUCCAGAUCAUCGAUAAAGACAUUAAAGAGAACUGGCCGCAGUACUGAGCCCUGGGGGACUCCACUAGUGACCGGCCUCCAACUGGAUUGAACUCCAGUUACAUUUAACUGGAUUGCAACAGCAGGCGUGCUUCUAGCCACGCGUGCCUUUUUCCAGAGAGAAAGCCGAAGAAAUUGGCAAACGGCAGCCGGCUGCACCUUGAGGGGCAAGGGCAGAGCAAACCCCGGGCUGGCACAGCCGGGAGCAUCCCUGCAGAGAGCUGCAACGUCCCUGACAGCAGUUUUGUUCAGGGGGACCCGGGGCCACGUGGGACAGCCUCGGCUGUGCCUCCCACUGCGCGCUGCAGCCUCUCUCGCCUCCAGAUCGGUCACUGUUCUCUGCAACGUGCCGUGCCCUGCAGCACGCUUUCCCCCUCUUUUUCUGGGGGAAGAAACGUCUGACUUCCUCUUACACGUUUGGUAUUUGUGGGUAGGGAAAGGAGGAGAAAAUACAGGGCGCUCUGUGUACGAGUGCCUUCUCUUCCUUACGGGGAGGCAGCAGGCCAUCCAGGCACUGUUCCAUCAUCCCCAGUACAACUGCCUGCUUUAUUCUAACCUGGCUCUCCGCAAGAACACGGGCUGAAGUUCCUAACAGCCUGAUGUGCUCAUGCAGCAACAUGGAAGCUGCUCUGCAAGCUCUGUGCAUUUACUUAUGGUCAAACGAAGCCAAAUACCACUUUGUCCUUGUAAGCGACCAACAAAGGUCACUGACGUCUGUCGCUGGGGCUGGGGCCCCACUGCACGGGCAACCCCGCUGGCUUCAGCAGAGACCCCUGCAUGACGUCAGGCAGAAUUCUGACCCAAAAUUGGACUGAUUUCGGGCACACCGAGACUAAAGGCCCUCACCUCAAAUGGCUCUCAGCGCCCUACAGGACACUGGCCGAACUAAACCACCGCACGCUCCUGGCCGCUCCUUUCCAGCACUGUGCCGGACAAUUGUCCACGCCCUACAGGACAGGUAAGAUCGCCCCAACCCACACCCACUGCUGUCUCACAGCAAGCAGGACGGUGACACGAUCGGGCCAGGAUGGCAGUAUUCACUCCAUCAGGAUGACGGGACACCGACGGAUGUGGUGAGACGCUCGAGACCCUCAGGCAGAAAGGCAGGGGCUGUCCGUGGUCACAGGGGGAUGCUGCUCGGUUUGUUCCUUCUCUUAUUAAAGCCAGACACACACAGCAAUGGGACUAGACCACGGCACUCUCCUGGCCUCUAUUCCCUUGAGAACUCAGCAGGAGAAGAUGCCAACACUCUACAGGACAGAUAAGACAGCCCAACCCAUUCCCCACCACAGUCUCAAUGCCUGAGAAGUUGGCCCAACACGGCUCACUCUUGGCCGUCAGGCAGACACAGCAAGGACGGCCUUCGAGUGAGGCUGGGAGAGCCUUAGGCUGGAAGGCAGUGGCUGCUCCUGGCCACAGGGGAAGGCUGCUCCCUUUUGGCUUCCUCUCUUACAGCUGGAAACACACACAGUGAUGGGACCAGACCACGGCACACUCCUGGCCUCACUGCCCUCGACCACUCAGCUGGAAGGAAGAGCUGCCACCGCUCUCCAGGACAGGUAAGAUCGCCCCAACCCACACCCACCACGGUCCACAGCAAGCAGGAAGGUGACACAAUCGGGCCAGGACAAGAGUGACCGCUCCAUCAGGACGACAGGACACCGACAGCCUCGGUGAGAUGCUAGAGACUCGGGCAAACAGGCAGGGGCUGCCCGUGGUCACAGGGGGAUGCUGCUCCGUUUGGUGCUUCUUCUCUUUCAGCCAGAAACACACAGCGAUGGGACCAGACCAUGGCACAAUCCUGGCCUUGCUACACUCGACCACUCAGCUGGAAGGAAGAGCUGCCAGCUCUCUACAGGAGAGGUAAGAUCGCCCCAACCCACACCCACCGCACUCUAACAGCAAGCAGCGAGGUGACGCAUUUGGACCAGGAUGGCAGUGACCGCUCCAUCACGAUGACGGGACACGGAUGGAUGUGGUGAGACACUCAAGACCCUUGGUCAGAGAGGCUGGGGCAGCCUGUGGUCACAGGGGGAUGCUGCUAGGUUUGCUCCUUCUCUUAUUAAAGCCAGACACA
This is a long non-coding RNA of Anser brachyrhynchus (Pink-footed goose), 2141 nucleotides long. The record is from Ensembl. Lineage: Eukaryota; Metazoa; Chordata; Aves; Anseriformes; Anatidae.